Long non-coding RNA from Bactrocera tryoni, 932 nucleotides. RefSeq lists it as uncharacterized. Lineage: Eukaryota; Metazoa; Arthropoda; Insecta; Diptera; Tephritidae. The transcript has 6 exons. The record is from RefSeq and is a predicted model, not a curated record.
UAAAAAAUAAAUAAAAAGAAAAAUAAAAAUAAAAAAUUGAAGUUAUAGUGCAAUUAAGCGUUUAAAUAGUGAAAUUUCUUUCAAGAAAAAAAAAAGUGAAAUUAAUAAAGUGUAAAUCGUGAAAAAAAUGCCAAAGUGAAAAGUGAAAUCCAACAAGUUGCCACUAAAAAUGCCGCCCUUCCCACACCUGCACUAGAACUCGCAAAAUACCUACUGCGCAUAAAGCAUCCCUACAGGGCAUCAAAAUACACACCAGUUGAUGCCUCAGCAUUUCUGCCGUUUACCAUUUUCGUUGUGAUCCUGUGCCACACACAUGUCCGUUUGUGUGUGUGUGCGAGCGUAAACAUCGACGCUGUUAAUUAACGAACGAAAUUAUGCAAUGAUGGUAUGACAGCGUACGCAAACAGAACUCAGAACGAUAACAAAAACAAAAACAGAAAGAGAAACGAAAAAUAACUAUAUACACACAAUUGGCCAGAAGGUAAAGCAAACAGCAUCGUUCUGAGCUCGAUAACAAAAAUGUGCGCUCAUUGUCUUCUCUUUAUCUCACCGCCACAUUUUUCGCUUUGGCCUACUACCAGUAAACGAGGUGAUUUAACGGUAAUGUGAAAAAGUUAUUAUUUCGAUCAAUUAAUAGCGGCUGUUGUGUCCGAGGUGCAAAAGCAAUUGUAAUAAAAAUGUUGGACAAUAAGAACAAGUUGCGCUACUCAGGGAAGAAGUGUCUGUGAAAGUGAUUUGUAUGUGCAGUGUCAUAGAGAAAUGUGAAAAAUAAGUGAAAUUGUGAAUGUGUUAAGUGCAAAAAAAAUAUCUAAAAAAGUGUCAAUGUGCAAAGUGUAGGAAAAGAGCGAAUUCUAAGAGCCAUGCUGCAGAAUAUCGGAAUUGAUUUCAUAUUAUACGGAAAAUAGAUAACUUGAGAUUCGCGCAGAGUUCGG